RNAcentral lists this long non-coding RNA (210 nucleotides) under Lathyrus oleraceus (garden pea). RNAcentral describes it as "Pisum sativum (pea) long non-coding RNA (PSAT_LNC030672)". The record is from RNAcentral. Lineage: Eukaryota; Viridiplantae; Streptophyta; Magnoliopsida; Fabales; Fabaceae.
ACCAAUGGAACUACAACCCUUGGCAACAAUUCGCAAGAUCAGAGUGUCGCAAGUGGAAGCACCGUCAUGACCAUGUCUUAACUGACGCAGUCAUGCCAAAUGAGGUAAAACCAAGUCGUACUUAUAUGGCUUGGUAUAGAUCAGUUGGAUUUCAAUUCAUCGCCGAUGAUAUGUACCUCUACGACCCACGCCAGACAAGUUACACACAAG